CUUGCUACUGAUCUUAGCGGCGGACGGGUGAGUAAUGCUUAGGAAUCUGCCUAUUAGUGGGGGACAACAUUUCGAAAGGAAUGCUAAUACCGCAUACGUCCUACGGGAGAAAGCAGGGGAUCUUCGGACCUUGCGCUAAUAGAUGAGCCUAAGUCGGAUUAGCUAGUUGGUGGGGUAAAGGCCUACCAAGGCGACGAUCUGUAGCGGGUCUGAGAGGAUGAUCCGCCACACUGGGACUGAGACACGGCCCAGACUCCUACGGGAGGCAGCAGUGGGGAAUAUUGGACAAUGGGCGCAAGCCUGAUCCAGCCAUGCCGCGUGUGUGAAGAAGGCCUUAUGGUUGUAAAGCACUUUAAGCGAGGAGGAGGCUACUUUAGUUAAUACCUAGAGAUAGUGGACGUUACUCGCAGAAUAAGCACCGGCUAACUCUGUGCCAGCAGCCGCGGUAAUACAGAGGGUGCAAGCGUUAAUCGGAUUUACUGGGCGUAAAGCGCGCGUAGGCGGCUAAUUAAGUCAAAUGUGAAAUCCCCGAGCUUAACUUGGGAAUUGCAUUCGAUACUGGUUAGCUAGAGUGUGGGAGAGGAUGGUAGAAUUCCAGGUGUAGCGGUGAAAUGCGUAGAGAUCUGGAGGAAUACCGAUGGCGAAGGCAGCCAUCUGGCCUAACACUGACGCUGAGGUGCGAAAGCAUGGGGAGCAAACAGGAUUAGAUACCCUGGUAGU
This 720-nucleotide ribosomal RNA is filed under the name Acinetobacter sp. DH78-2. RNAcentral describes it as "bacterial SSU rRNA". It matches the Rfam family "Bacterial small subunit ribosomal RNA", at positions 79 to 794 of the family's 1533-position model. Lineage: Bacteria; Pseudomonadati; Pseudomonadota; Gammaproteobacteria; Moraxellales; Moraxellaceae. The record is from RNAcentral.